GGCCAAGUUUUUAAGGGCGCACGGUGGAUGCCUUGGCACUAGGAACCGAUGAAGGACGUGGGAGGCCGCGAUAGGCCCCGGGGAGCUGUCAACCGAGCUUUGAUCCGGGGGUGUCCGAAUGGGGAAACCCGGCAGUCGUCAUGGGCUGUCACCCGCUGCUGAACACAUAGGCAGUGUGGAGGGAACGCGGGGAAGUGAAACAUCUCAGUACCCGCAGGAAGAGAAAACAACCGUGAUUCCGGGAGUAGUGGCGAGCGAAACUGGAUGAGGCUAAACCGUAUUGGUGUGAGACCCGGCAGGGGUUGCCAAUGCGGGGUUGUGGGAAUGAGCUUCAGUCGUCUGCCGGCGGCUGGGCGAGUCAGAAACCGUAUGGGUAGUCGAAGGACAUGCGAAAGGUCCGGCGUAGAGGGUAAGACCCCCGUAGACGAAAUCUGUACGGCUUGCUUGCUCAUCUCCCAAGUAGCACGGGGCCCGAGAAAUCCCGUGUGAAUCUGGCGGGACCACCCGCUAAGCCUAAAUAUUCCCUAGUGACCGAUAGCGGAUAGUACCGUGAGGGAAUGGUGAAAAGUACCGCGGGAGCGGAGUGAAAUAGUACCUGAAACCGUGUGCCUACAAGCCGUGGGAGCGUCGUUCAUCAGCUUGCUGGUGGGCCGUGACUGCGUGCCUUUUGAAGAAUGAGCCUGCGAGUUUGCGGUGUGUAGCGAGGUUAACCCGUGUGGGGUAGCCGUAGCGAAAGCGAGUCCGAAUAGGGCGUUUGAGUUGCAUGCCCAAGACCCGAAGCGGAGUGAUCUAGCCAUGGGCAGGUUGAAGCGCGGGUAAGACCGUGUGGAGGACCGAACCCACCAGGGUUGAAAACCUGGGGGAUGACCUGUGGUUAGGGGUGAAAGGCCAAUCAAACUCCGUGAUAGCUGGUUCUCCCCGAAAUGCAUUUAGGUGCAGCGUCACGUGUUUCUUGCCGGAGGUAGAGCACUGGAUAGGCGAUGGGCCUUACCGGGUUACUGACCUUAGCCAAACUCCGAAUGCCGGUAAGUGAGAGCGUGGCAGUGAGACUGUGGGGGAUAAGCUCCAUGGUCGAGAGGGAAACAGCCCAGAACACCGACUAAGGUCCCUAAGCGUGUGCUAAGUGGGAAAGGAUGUGGAGUCGCAGAGACAACCAGGAGGUUGGCUUAGAAGCAGCCACCCUUGAAAGAGUGCGUAAUAGCUCACUGGUCAAGUGAUUCCGCGCCGACAAUGUAGCGGGGCUCAAGCACAUCACCGAAGUCGUGUCAUUGCAGCAUGAAGGGCUAACGCCUGCUGUGAUGGGUAGGGGAGCGUCGUGUGCCGGGUGAAGCGGCGGUGGAAACCAGUCGUGGACGGUAUACGAGUGAGAAUGCAGGCAUGAGUAGCGAUACAAGAGUGGGAAACUCUUGCGCCGAUUGACCAAGGGUUCCUGGGUCAAGCUGAUCUGCCCAGGGUAAGUCGGGACCUAAGGCGAGGCCGACAGGCGUAGUCGAUGGACAACGGGUUGAUAUUCCCGUACCCGCUUUGAAGCGCCAACGCUGAACCAGGUAAUGCUAAGGCCGUGAAGCCGUCCUGGAGCCUUCGGGCAAAGGGAAGUGGUGGAGCCGNNNNNNNNNNNNNNNNNNNNNNNNNNNNNNNNNNNNGUCUGAGACCUGAUGCCGAGCCGAUUGUGGUGAAGUGGAUGAUCCUAUGCUGUCGAGAAAAGCCUCUAGCGAGUUUCAUGGCGGCCCGUACCCCAAACCGACUCAGGUGGUCAGGUAGAGAAUACCGAGGCGUUCGGGUGAACUAUGGUUAAGGAACUCGGCAAAAUGCCCCCGUAACUUCGGGAGAAGGGGGGCCAUUCCUGGUGAUGGGCCUUGCGCCUUGAGCUGGGGGUGGCCGCAGAGACCAGCGAGAAGCGACUGUUUACUAAAAACACAGGUCCGUGCGAAGCCGUAAGGCGAUGUAUACGGACUGACGCCUGCCCGGUGCUGGAACGUUAAGGGGACCGGUUAGCUUGGAUUCGUCCAGGCGAAGCUGAGAACUUAAGCGCCAGUAAACGGCGGUGGUAACUAUAACCAUCCUAAGGUAGCGAAAUUCCUUGUCGGGUAAGUUCCGACCUGCACGAAUGGCGUAACGACUUCUCGACUGUCUCAACCAUAGGCCCGGUGAAAUUGCAUUACGAGUAAAGAUGCUCGUUUCGCGCAGCAGGACGGAAAGACCCCGGGACCUUUACUAUAGCUUGAUAUUGGUGUUCGGUUCGGCUUGUGUAGGAUAGGUGGGAGACUUUGAAGCCGUGACGCCAGUCAUGGUGGAGUCGUCGUUGAAAUACCACUCUGGUCGUGCUGGAUGUCUAACCUGGGUCCGUGAUCCGGAUCAGGGACAGUGUCUGGUGGGUAGUUUAACUGGGGCGGUUGCCUCCUAAAGGGUAACGGAGGCGCCCAAAGGUUCCCUCAGCCUGGUUGGCAAUCAGGUGUUGAGUGUAAGUGCACAAGGGAGCUUGACUGUGAGACUGACGGGUCGAGCAGGUACGAAAGUAGGGACUAGUGAUCCGGCGGUGGCUUGUGGAAGCGCCGUCGCUCAACGGAUAAAAGGUACCCCGGGGAUAACAGGCUGAUCUUCCCCAAGAGUCCAUAUCGACGGGAUGGUUUGGCACCUCGAUGUCGGCUCGUCGCAUCCUGGGGCUGGAGUAGGUCCCAAGGGUUGGGCUGUUCGCCCAUUAAAGCGGUACGCGAGCUGGGUUUAGAACGUCGUGAGACAGUUCGGUCCCUAUCCGCUGUGCGCGUAGGAGUGUUGAGAAGGGCUGUCCCUAGUACGAGAGGACCGGGACGGACGAACCUCUGGUGUGCCAGUUGUUCUGCCAAGGGCAUGGCUGGUUGGCUACGUUCGGGAGGGAUAACCGCUGAAAGCAUCUAAGCGGGAAGCCUGCUUCGAGAUGAGCACUCCCACCUCCUUGAGAGGGUAAGGCUCCCAGUAGACGACUGGGUUGAUAGGCCGGAUAUGGAAGCCCUGUGAGGGGUGGAGUUGACCGGUACUAAUAGGCCGAGGGCUUGUCCUC
This 3037-nucleotide ribosomal RNA is filed under the name Kitasatospora sp. SUK 42. Its description in RNAcentral is "23S ribosomal RNA". It matches the Rfam family "Bacterial large subunit ribosomal RNA". The record is from RNAcentral. Lineage: Bacteria; Bacillati; Actinomycetota; Actinomycetes; Kitasatosporales; Streptomycetaceae.